Octopus sinensis (East Asian common octopus) is the source of this 2297-nucleotide RNA transcript. RefSeq lists it as uncharacterized. The transcript has 4 exons. The record is from RefSeq and is a predicted model, not a curated record. Lineage: Eukaryota; Metazoa; Mollusca; Cephalopoda; Octopoda; Octopodidae.
AAACGGAAAUAAUAUAGACGCAUGCGCACUCGUAGGACCCGGAAGUUUUAGAUUUUUGUGUGAAUUUCUUUAUGUUCCCAAAUUGAAUUUGAUAUUUAUCAUUGUCAGGAUCAUAUUUACCUAUCCUUAAAAUAAUUGUAUAAAUCAUGGGAGAGUCUCCUAGUUGGGGUUCACCCGCAUUGUUUAACGUCAGUCGUGGAUCGAGUGAUGAUAAGUUUGGAGUUCCAAAUACUGUUAGUGGAGACAGUCCUGCAAGUGGAGGAAGCCCUUCAAAAUUACCAUGGGGUUCGCCUUUUUCACCAAGUAACCAGUCAUAUGUUUCGCCUUUUUCACCAAGUAACCAGUCAUAUGUUUCGCCUUUUUGCUCCUCGAGUCCUAAUCUAUCGUCCACUGAUUCGGGUCGAUCCCUUGGACAUGACAAUCGCAGUGGAAAUCAUUAUUUUCAACAAAGACAUCCUCAUCGAAUAAACUCACCAAUUUCAACCCCUUACAAUUGUCGCAACCCCUUGCUUCCUCCACAUUCUGCUUACCCUCAUUACCAACAAGAUCAAAAUUGUCAUAUUCCUCGAUGUCCUGCAACUAGAAACGACAGAUACUCCCGUCAGAGUACUCCUUAUAGUUCUAAAGUCAGUUUUAAUAACAGCAGAUCUUUCAGUGAUGAUAAUAUUGCAAAUUAUUUUAAGCCAUCUAUGCUAGAAGAUCCUUGGAAAAAUUUGAAGUAGUAGUAAAGAGGUGUUGUCUGACAGGUUUUUGGUUGAACAUAUUGGUAUUCUAUAUAAAUAGAGCAAGAAUGUGAAGAUCAGAUUAUUUUAAGAAAAACUUUGAAUGAAAAAGAAAAGGCUGUUUGAUUCUUACCUUCUUGAUUAGUCAAGCAAUUUUUCUUCAUUCUCUAACACUGCCAUCAUUUUCAACUUAAAGUCUUUCAACAGUUUUCUUAAUGAACAAUACUGAGUAAUUCUUUGAUAUAUGUUUCUUUGCUUUAGUUGAAAGAAAUCAUCAUUUUACAUAUUUUAAUAAUUGACUUUUUCUGGCCAAAAGUCAUACAGACUUCAAAACAUUCUGUGUCAUUUUACAACUUUUCAUUGUCUUAAAUCCAUUAUAUUGACAGACAUAAAGAGUGAUAUUUUUUGAACGGCUCAUUGAUUUCAAACAUCACUUCUUCAGUAGGCAGCAUUGCUAAUAUGAGAAGCAGCAACAUUUAUUGUGCUUGUAUAAAUAUUUUGUUGAUAAUGUUAGGAUAGCUCCAGUUAUUGUCAUUUUGUUAUGUUAAAAGAAAUUCCUCUAUUUAAAUUCAGAUAUUAUAGUGACCAGUUUGAUUUAUCUAGCAUGUAGGGUGUGGUUGCUCAACUUGCUAGAAAAAGUAACCAAAUUACACCCUGUGAGCUUAAGAAGGAAGGGCACAUUGCAUUGUGUUAAAACAUGCUCCUAAAAAGAGUGGUCCUGAUUAAAUUACUAUUUUUGUCAAUAUCUGAACUCUGCAGAAAUACGCAACACUUGCGAGUGGAAGUUGCAUAUCCCAGAAAAAUUCAAGAGGAAAUGUUAGGUUAUUUUAUAUAAUAAACUUUCGUGUCUAUAUUACUAAGUCAGAUUUACAGCAACAGUUGUCUUCUAUUAUUGAAGAGGUAUGCAUCAAAAUAUGUCGGUGUUUUUGUGUAAAUGAGUAUGAUACUUUCCCUACAAACUCUUCACUCUAUUCUUUUUGACACAGCUGUUUGCUUUCUGUAAGAUACGAAGAUGGGGUGAAUAAAAAAUAACUAUAUCUAAUGACAUAGCAUUGGCUCUCCUUGUAGGAAUAGUGAGAACAUUUACUUGUUUAAAGAUAUAUAUUUAAUUUUCAAGUAUCAUUUAAUUUCUCAGUAUAAUGGCUACUAGAAAAUUAAAAAAGAAAAAUAGAAAACAAGAUUAUCACUUUUUUUUUUCAAAGAAUUUGUAUAUUUCUUGUUUUCAGAUUUGUAUAUUCUCUAAAAUUCUGUGUUUUAAUUUACCUAAAUACCCAUUUUAGCAUUUAAGUAUUUUGAGUUUACCAAUUAAUUGCAUGUUGGUAAGAUUACAUUAUUGAUGACAUAUUAAUUUCACAAUUGCUAUUUUUUAUUCACUGAAAUUUAUAGAGUAGUUAAGAAAUUAGUAUUAUGUAUUAUUUUCCUUCUCACAAAAAUAAUGAGUGCCAGCAAUUUCUUUAUUAAGAAAUUGAAAAAAAAAUCAAACAGUUUGAUAUAUUUACUGCAUGUCACUGCCAAAAGGAAAUUGAUUUAAUUUUUGAUAUAUUGUAAAUAAAUAUUUUUUUUUAUGAACAUGAA